Molecule: ribosomal RNA, 389 nt
Filed under: Microbispora sp. 1724
Lineage: Bacteria; Bacillati; Actinomycetota; Actinomycetes; Streptosporangiales; Streptosporangiaceae
Description: bacterial SSU rRNA
Rfam family: Bacterial small subunit ribosomal RNA
Source: RNAcentral
CCUUGUUCCAUGUUGCCAGCACUCCCUUUGGGGUGGUGGGGACUCAUGGGACACUGCCGGGGUCAACUCGGAGGAAGGUGGGGAUGACGUCAAGUCAUCAUGCCCCUUAUGUCUUGGGCUGCAAACAUGCUACAAUGGCCGGUACAGAGGGUUGCGAUACCGUGAGGUGGAGCGAAUCCCUAAAAGCCGGUCUCAGUUCGGAUUGGGGUCUGCAACUCGACCCCAUGAAGUCGGAGUCGCUAGUAAUCGCACAUCACCAACGCUGCGGUGAAUACGUUCCCGGGCCUUGUACACACCGCCCGUCACGUCACGAAAGUCGGCGACACCCGAAGCCCGUGGCCCAACCACUUGUGGGGGGAGCGGUCCAAGGUGGGGCUGGCGAUUGGGAC